This 376-nucleotide ribosomal RNA is filed under the name uncultured bacterium. Its description in RNAcentral is "bacterial SSU rRNA". It matches the Rfam family "Bacterial small subunit ribosomal RNA", at positions 521 to 896 of the family's 1533-position model. The record is from RNAcentral.
UAAUACAGAGGGUGCGAGCGUUAAUCGGAUUUACUGGGCGUAAAGGGCGCGUAGGCGGUUAGUUAAGAUAGUUGUGAAAUCCCUGGGCUUAACCUAGGAACUGCAACUGUGACUGGCUAGCUAGAGUACUGUAGAGGGUAGUGGAAUUUCCGGUGUAGCGGUGAAAUGCGUAGAGAUCGGAAGGAACACCAGUGGCGAAGGCGGCUACCUGGACAGAUACUGACGCUGAGGCGCGAGAGCGUGGGGAGCAAACAGGAUUAGAUACCCUGGUAGUCCACGCUGUAAACGAUGAAGACUAGAUGUUGGGCAGCUUGACUGUUUAGUAUCGAAGCUAACGCGAUAAGUCUUCCGCCUGGGGAGUACGGUCGCAAGAUUA